AGAAGCUUCAAGCAAAACCAAGCUGUCAACAGCGAAAGCAUUUCCGCUGAGGAGUGUGUUUUUUCUUUCCUUGUGCCGACGUCGUCCAUACGUGCUGCCGAGAAGCCGGGAAAAAUUCGCCAAAGUCGCGGGAACGAAAAUAGCGGCAAAACACCAUCCGUGUUCAGCACGGCGAAUCAUCGUUCACGUCGAUGAAAAAUUGCCACACCGCUGUUGCAGAACUGCGAAAAAGGCGAUAAAAAACGGCACUCGAGAAAAAGCAGCGGCCCGUAACGUUACCGUUGAGUAAAACGGAUUGUUUUGUUGGAUUACGGCAGAAUACGUAACCAAAUCCUCUUCUUCAACCACGAGGAAAACUCGUGGUGAGAAAACCACCGUCGAAGGAGGAGGACUGAAAAGGAAAAAGCAUCAAGAAAGCCCCUGAAUAAAGGGGCUUUUUUUUUCUUUCUUGUUUUUUCUUUCCUCUCUUUAUUCCUCUCCGGCGAUUUAUUUAGUGGCCCAAACUUCUUCGCUUAAUUGUCUUGGCACGCAACACAGGGUGGCCGGAAGGUGCGGCAAACAAGCCGGAGCGAAUACCGAGGAGCUUGAGCUCAAAGCAGCCGGAAGUGCCAAGGUCGUGGGCACGAGUUUGCUGAGGGAUCGGGACAAAGGAGCCCGAGGGCGCUGGGAUAAUACGAUCGGUGCUCAAACCGAUGAAAGCUGGGUGGAGGAGAACUGGCAGUUUCGAACACCGCGGGAAGAUCGAGACGACUGGAAAGAAUUGGAUCCAAGAGCCGAACCAGAUCCGGAUCCGCAAGCCGAGGAAGGAAUUAGACCGACGAGCCAGAUGAGCGGAACCAGAAUCGCUGCAGUGGGGCGAACCUCGCUCGGAAAAGCGAAUCAAGUUUGUCAUGCGCAUGUCGCAGUGUGCAUCUCCAGUUUCCGGGAGCAAACUCUCCCCUAUCAUCCCGACAUCGAAGCGUGGGAGUCAACCAGCUCUGCUCAGAGCCACCCACGCGCGUGUGCCAUUGUGUGGUCCAGUGAUGACCGCUUGUAACCAGGAAGAUGAGCGCUUUUGCUGCACGUUCGACGCCAUUCCGGAGAGGCCUGGAGGUCAAAUAUAAGUGCCAAUUACGACUUGUUUUCAAUUAUGCUAAUACUUAGUGGGAGGAAUUUCCUGCUCUCAUAAACUGAGCAAAGUGGCAAUGGCCAAAAUAAAAAGCAAAUUCAUUUAAUCUUAAA
Uranotaenia lowii is the source of this 1221-nucleotide long non-coding RNA. RefSeq lists it as uncharacterized. Lineage: Eukaryota; Metazoa; Arthropoda; Insecta; Diptera; Culicidae. The record is from RefSeq and is a predicted model, not a curated record. The transcript is spliced from 3 exons.